GAGCGGACAGAAGGAAGCUUGCUCCCGGAUGUUAGCGGCGGACGGGUGAGUAACACGUGGGUAACCUGCCUGUAAGACUGGGAUAACUCCGGGAAACCGGAGCUAAUACCGGAUAGUUCCUUGAACCGCAUGGUUCAAGGAUGAAAGACGGUUUCGGCUGUCACUUACAGAUGGACCCGCGGCGCAUUAGCUAGUUGGUGGGGUAAUGGCUCACCAAGGCAACGAUGCGUAGCCGACCUGAGAGGGUGAUCGGCCACACUGGGACUGAGACACGGCCCAGACUCCUACGGGAGGCAGCAGUAGGGAAUCUUCCGCAAUGGACGAAAGUCUGACGGAGCAACGCCGCGUGAGUGAUGAAGGUUUUCGGAUCGUAAAGCUCUGUUGUUAGGGAAGAACAAGUGCGAGAGUAACUGCUCGCACCUUGACGGUACCUAACCAGAAAGCCACGGCUAACUACGUGCCAGCAGCCGCGGUAAUACGUAGGUGGCAAGCGUUGUCCGGAAUUAUUGGGCGUAAAGGGCUCGCAGGCGGUUUCUUAAGUCUGAUGUGAAAGCCCCCGGCUCAACCGGGGAGGGUCAUUGGAAACUGGGAAACUUGAGUGCAGAAGAGGAGAGUGGAAUUCCACGUGUAGCGGUGAAAUGCGCAGAUAUCUGGAGGAACACC
RNAcentral lists this ribosomal RNA (663 nucleotides) under Bacillus sp. SCULCB HNA-17. Its description in RNAcentral is "bacterial SSU rRNA". It matches the Rfam family "Bacterial small subunit ribosomal RNA", at positions 64 to 710 of the family's 1533-position model. Lineage: Bacteria; Bacillati; Bacillota; Bacilli; Caryophanales; Bacillaceae. The record is from RNAcentral.